GUGGUAGUCCAGAAAAUAUGGCAGGUGCCACACCUGUGUCUGCUGGAUUGACCUGAGCCAGACAAGGGCAAGGAGCUAGGUGGGGAGGGGGAGGAGGGGAAGUGGGCCUGGAGCCGGGGCCAGCUGGGCGCUGCCGGCCUGCCAGCCAGGUCCGCUCAGGCCUUGCCAAGCUCCUCGGGAACAAGGAGGAAGAAGGCAGACGCCCGGUUCUGAGGCAGGUGCCAGGCAGUAGGGACUUAGGCACAGGACGGAAGCCUGCAGUCUGUCUGCAGCUGCGGCACCAGAGAGGUGGUAACUUGCAGGUAGCAGGACGGGAAUGUAUCAACGAGGGCCAUCACCACCGCCAUCAUCUCACAUGACUCCAGCCUCCACGGGGGAACGGUGUCCCUUCUAUGUCCAGAAGCCUUAAGUGGAUCCCCCAAAAUCACAAGCUGGAGGCCGGGGCAAGCUACAUGUGAGAAGGCAAGCAGCCUGCAGCAAGGCUCAGGUGAUGUCUGCACGGCCUGACAUCAAACCUACAGGAAAUUCCCUAGGACGAGCAGGAAGAAACCCAGGAACUACUGACAUAACAAGAAAAACUAUUUCACUCUCUUUUCUUCUCUGGCCGCACUGCGCGGCCUGCGGGAUCUCAGUUCCGGACCAGGGAUCGAACCCGCACCCCCUGGAGCGGAAGCGCGGAGUCUUAACCACUGGACCGCCAGGGAAGCCACCCACCCUCUUUUCUAUUCUCAAAGUAUAAAUGGUUGCUCGUCAUUUCUAAGAGGCUAACUUCAAGAAUUAGUACGUAAAUAGUAACAUUAACCAGGGAGAUGAUCCAGGAAGGCCUAAAGAGAAAGGCUUCGUAAGACCUGUGGCCGCAUCCUGUCAGUCCUGUCACUUGUCACCUCCCAAAGGCUAGAAGAGGCUACACAGCUCAUACGAGGGCCUGGCUCUCAGGAAAUGGCUCGAGGCUAGAUUUCCUGGAGAAGGAAGAGGAAAGGGAAUCACGGGUAAAUGAAGAGAAACUUAGCUCCCUGUAGACUGAGGGCCUCAGUAAACCUUGUUCGUCUGUCUGAGUAUCACACAGGAAAGACCAGGCAGAGAGCCGGCCUGGGCUCACACAUCAGAUCUAUUUCCAGCCUGGGCAACAGAUGCACUCUCUGAACCUCAGUUUACUCAGCUGUAAAAUGGGCAAUAAUGCAAGAGCUCACCCACAUCAUAGGAAAAAUGAAGAGAUAGUCAUGGGAAAGCUUGCUGGCCCAGCGCCCG
Physeter macrocephalus (sperm whale) is the source of this 1248-nucleotide long non-coding RNA. RefSeq lists it as uncharacterized. NCBI's taxonomy places the organism in Eukaryota, Metazoa, Chordata, Mammalia, Artiodactyla, Physeteridae. The record is from RefSeq and is a predicted model, not a curated record. The transcript has 4 exons.